GGCAGGGUAGCCUAGUGGUUAGAGCAUUGGGUUAGUAACUGAAAGGUUGCAAGUUCAAAUCCCCCAGCUG
Salmo salar (Atlantic salmon) is the source of this 70-nucleotide non-coding RNA. The record is from Rfam. Lineage: Eukaryota; Metazoa; Chordata; Actinopteri; Salmoniformes; Salmonidae.